This is a non-coding RNA of Vicia faba (fava bean), 255 nucleotides long. The record is from the annotation of a GenBank genome assembly. Lineage: Eukaryota; Viridiplantae; Streptophyta; Magnoliopsida; Fabales; Fabaceae.
AUGGGUGUGGUGAGAAGGCCGAGAAAGUGCUUAAAACCGUCAUCGCAUCGGUUGGAACCUCAAGGUGGAAUUUUUGUCCUGUGGAAGAGCAAAGAUAUAUCAGUGGAUGUCCUUCAGGAUGACUCUCAGUUCGUUCAUAUGAAGGUAGUUCAGGAGAAGAAGAGCGAGUGCUUAUUGAUUGCUCUCUAUGCGAAACCUAUGGAGAGUCUGAAAGCCUGGCUCUGGAAGCAAGUUCUUCAUAUGUGGGAAGUUUAA